This 374-nucleotide long non-coding RNA is filed under the name Elaeis guineensis (African oil palm). RNAcentral describes it as "long non-coding RNA (EGUI_LNC003380)". Lineage: Eukaryota; Viridiplantae; Streptophyta; Magnoliopsida; Arecales; Arecaceae. The record is from RNAcentral.
UAUCAUAUAGUUUAGAUAAAUUUAAAGUUUAUCUGAAUUAUUAUUUAAACACUUCUGUAUUUGAUGAAACUCUUUUAUCAGAAGGAUUCUUCUAAAAUAUCAAAGGCAAAAUAGCCCUCCACAAGUAUUACUCUUGCUUGCAUGACUGGAUUUAUCAAAACCAGAAGUCACCUAUCAUGCUAAAUUCCCAUAAAAAAUAGGCACAAGCUCAUAAAAGAGCAUAGCAAGGCUGUGAUAAUCAUACGUACUCGAAAUAAGCUCGAGUCAAAACCAUGAAAGCAAGCUAAGGGGUCAGGAGCAACUGGUAGAACGACCGUGGUAAAUGUGGAUGCUGCGCGAAUGCCAGCAGAUUAACCUAACAACAUGCAACAACC